UACGUAGGGCGCAAGCGUUUUCCGGAAUUAUUGGGCGUAAAGAGCUCGUAGGCGGUUUGUCGCGUCUGCCGUGAAAGUCCGGGGCUCAACUCCGGAUCUGCGGUGGGUACGGGCAGACUAGAGUGAUGUAGGGGAGACUGGAAUUCCUGGUGUAGCGGUGAAAUGCGCAGAUAUCAGGAGGAACACCGAUGGCGAAGGCAGGUCUCUGGGCAUUAACUGACGCUGAGGAGCGAAAGCAUGGGGAGCGAACAGG
Molecule: ribosomal RNA, 253 nt
Filed under: uncultured bacterium
Lineage: Bacteria
Description: partial 16S ribosomal RNA
Rfam family: Bacterial small subunit ribosomal RNA
Source: RNAcentral